GACGAACGCUGGCGGCGUGCUUAACACAUGCAAGUCGAGCGAUGAAACUACUUCGGUAGUGAAUUAGCGGCGAACGGGUGAGGAACACGUGAGGAAUCUGCCUUCUACACUGGGAUAACUCCGGGAAACCGGGGCUAAUACCGGAUAUGAAACUUGGUGGCAUCACCGAGUUUGGAAAGUUUUUCGGUAGAAGAUGACCUCGCGGCCUAUCAGCUUGUUGGUGAGGUAAUGGCUCACCAAGGCGACACGGGUAGCCGGCCUGAGAGGGCGACCGGCCACACUGGGACUGAGACACGGCCCAGACUCCUACGGGAGGCAGCAGUGGGGAAUAUUGGGCAAUGGAGGAAACUCUGACCCAGCGACGCCGCGUGAGGGAUGAAGGCCUUCGGGUUGUAAACCUCUUUCAGUAGGGAAGAAGCGAAAGUGACGGUACCUACAGAAGAAGCACCGGCUAACUACGUG
This 462-nucleotide ribosomal RNA is filed under the name uncultured bacterium. Its description in RNAcentral is "bacterial SSU rRNA". It matches the Rfam family "Bacterial small subunit ribosomal RNA", at positions 28 to 507 of the family's 1533-position model. The record is from RNAcentral.